UCUGGCAUAUAAUUUUACUUGGCCAAAUAAUGUGACGACGUGGGUCGAAACUGCUGUCCAUUUCACCGAAAUGUCGGCCAUUGUUAGCUGUACCUACACGGCUGUACGUCUCAUCUCGUGCUAAAACACUUCAGACCUAUUGAUGUCCAGGUUGGAGAUCCCUUCGCUCAACUGUUGCAGAAAUUGAGAACAUGAGAAAGUCUGAGCUUCAUGGCUGUUGUAUCAUCAAUGUGGUUUUGUUUUAUUCAUGAGGUGGGAAAAGUGUGAUUGAGUCAAGUUGAGCUGCAGCUGCUGCAUGAAGUUAAUCAAACUGAUGUUAUUCCUAUUGUCACAGCAGGAAGACUUCUUGAAUCGGUAAUUUGAUUGAUGUUAUUGGUUGUAACUUGGGAAUUAAGUUUUUUUUUUAAAUUUUGUAUUCAAUUGACAAGUAUAAGAUAAAAUUAAGUUGUAGAAAAUUAGAGUUUUUCUUCCUUCCAAAUAAUUGUUUCCGUUCAAAGAUAGCAUUGUUGGUCAGCUACUCAGCUUCCACUGAUUUUUUUUUUAAAUUAUUUUCUACCAAUCCAACUAAAAAAAAAAACUCCCACUCAGUAUUACCAAGUUUUUAUAACAUAUUGGAAGUAGAUGGACAGAAUUA
Long non-coding RNA from Daphnia pulicaria, 634 nucleotides. RefSeq lists it as uncharacterized. The transcript is spliced from 2 exons. NCBI's taxonomy places the organism in Eukaryota, Metazoa, Arthropoda, Branchiopoda, Diplostraca, Daphniidae. The record is from RefSeq and is a predicted model, not a curated record.